This 256-nucleotide ribosomal RNA is filed under the name uncultured bacterium. RNAcentral's name for it is "partial 16S ribosomal RNA". It matches the Rfam family "Bacterial small subunit ribosomal RNA", at positions 524 to 776 of the family's 1533-position model. The record is from RNAcentral.
UACGUAGGGUGCAAGCGUUGUCCGGAAUUAUUGGGCGUAAAGAGCUCGUAGGCGGUCUGUUGCGUCGGCUGUGAAAACCCGGGGCUCAACUCCGGGCCUGCAGCCGAUACGGGCAGACUAGAGUUCGGCAGGGGGGAGACGUGGAAUUCCUGGUGUAGCGGUGAAAUGCGUAGAGAUCGGGAGGAACACCAGAGGCGAAGGCGGCGACCUGGACAAGUACUGACACUCAACUACGAAAGCGUGGGGAGCAAACAGG